UUCUGGGAAGGAGGGGCAUAGCUUUCUUCAGCUUUUUCGAGGAGUCUGUGGUGCUCAUAAAGGAAAGAACCAUAGCAUAUGGCCAGGUUGGGCACUGUGACCUCUUUUCCACCUGGUUCUAAUUACUCCCAAUCACUGGUUGGUUAGGCUGCGAGGUUGUCGGUGUGCCUUUGUACCUCAGCCAACUACCCUUUGAGACCCCCCCCCCCCUAAAUUCAGGAAGUUUAAUCAGUCCAGUCCCUGGCCCUUAAAUCAAUCAGGACCUCAUUGAAGUUCUGCGUGAAUCUCCCAAAGAGUAGCCAGCUACCAAGUUUUCACCAUCCUGUCACCUCGGUCCUCGCUUCUGCUUUGUGCACUGCAACCUGGCUUCCUGGGGCGUGAGCUGCCUGGCUUGGCACUUCAGGCACGCCGGGCCCUCCCUCCCGCGGCAUCUGGUGACAACAACCAUGCACUGAAUUAGCUGAACACGAAUGUCUAAAGCCCUGUGGCUGCAUCAGGGUGGCUCCCAGGAGCCUGAGGACAGGUGAGGCGCUCGGCUGUGCAUGGGGAUUCUUGUUUACCUCAACAGGGAAUCAGGCUCCCAGUGCGGCCAAGUUGGGCACAUGACCAGCUCCUGCUGCCACCCGGGUAAUUGGUUUUCUGUGUUCAUUUCAAUAAUGAACAGCAUUAAAGGAGGCUGGAGAUGCAAGGGAGAUACAAGCAUUGUGGAAGGAACAAAGAGAUUUUAAUGUGUUGAGUCGGGUUCUGGGAAAGAUGAGGGACAUGAUAAUCGAGUAUUAAAACAGAAGAGAUUAUGCAGUGGUCCUCACACCAUCCAUCACCGCCCUCGUCCUGGGCGGGUGGCAGAACUGAGUCUGCCGAGAUCCCGGCAUUAUCUCCGCAGUUUAUUUACAUCUCAAAUCAGGUUGCACUGACAGCAGCUAAAGAAAUUCCAGGGAAGAGAUGUAACUGCAUGAUCUAUUUCCUACAGAAAGUGCAAACACAA
Molecule: long non-coding RNA, 985 nt
Organism: Panthera uncia (snow leopard)
Lineage: Eukaryota; Metazoa; Chordata; Mammalia; Carnivora; Felidae
Exons: 3
Source: RefSeq, a predicted model, not a curated record